This 425-nucleotide ribosomal RNA is filed under the name uncultured bacterium. RNAcentral's name for it is "bacterial SSU rRNA". It matches the Rfam family "Bacterial small subunit ribosomal RNA", at positions 354 to 796 of the family's 1533-position model. The record is from RNAcentral.
GUGGGGAAUAUUGGACAAUGGGGGAAACCCUGAUCCAGCCAUGCCGCGUGAGUGAAGAAGGCCCUAGGGUUGUAAAGCUCUUUCGACGGGGACGAUGAUGACGGUACCCGUAGAAGAAGCCCCGGCUAACUUCGUGCCAGCAGCCGCGGUAAUACGAAGGGGGCAAGCGUUGUUCGGAUUUACUGGGCGUAAAGGGCGCGUAGGCGGAUUCGUAAGUCAGAGGUGAAAGCCCUGGGCUCAACCCGGGAAUGGCCUUUGAGACUGCAAGUCUUGAGUGCGAGAGAGGGUGGCGGAAUACCCAGUGUAGAGGUGAAAUUCGUAGAUAUUGGGUAGAACACCGGUGGCGAAGGCGGCCACCUGGCUCGCAACUGACGCUGAGGCGCGAAAGCGUGGGGAGCAAACAGGAUUAGAUACCCCAGUAGUCC